UAAGGAAUAUUGCUCAAUGGGCGCAAGCCUGAACCAGCCAUCCCGCGUGCAGGAAGACGGCCCUAUGGGUUGUAAACUGCUUUUCCAGGGGGAGAAACUUGCGCACGUGUUGCGCAAUUGACGGUACCCUGGGAAUAAGCAUCGGCUAACUCCGUGCCAGCAGCUGCGGUAAUACGGAGGAUGCGAGCGUUAUCCGGAUUCAUUGGGUUUAAAGGGUGCGUAGGCGGACUAUUAAGUCAGUGGUGAAAUCCUGCAGCUUAACUGCAGAACUGCCAUUGAUACUGAUAGCCUUGAGUUUGGUUAAGGUAGGCGGAAUGUGUAAUGUAGCGGUGAAGUGCUUAGAUAUUACACAGAACACCAAUUGCGUAGGCAGCUUACUGAGCCGACACUGACGCUGAGGCACGAAAGCGUGGGGAUCGAACA
RNAcentral lists this ribosomal RNA (423 nucleotides) under uncultured prokaryote. Its description in RNAcentral is "bacterial SSU rRNA". It matches the Rfam family "Bacterial small subunit ribosomal RNA", at positions 355 to 774 of the family's 1533-position model. The record is from RNAcentral.